UACGGGGGGGGCAAGCGUUGUUCGGAAUUACUGGGCGUAAAGGGCUCGUAGGCGGCCAACUAAGUCAUACGUGAAAUCCCUCGGCUUAACCGGGGAACUGCGUCUGAUACUGGAUGGCUUGAGUUCGGGAGAGGGAUGCGGAAUUCCAGGUGUAGCGGUGAAAUGCGUAGAUAUCUGGAGGAACACCGGUGGCGAAGGCGGCGUUCUGGACUGCAACUGACGCUGAGGCGCGAAAGCUAGGGGAGCAAACAGG
This 253-nucleotide ribosomal RNA is filed under the name uncultured bacterium. RNAcentral describes it as "partial 16S ribosomal RNA". It matches the Rfam family "Bacterial small subunit ribosomal RNA", at positions 524 to 776 of the family's 1533-position model. The record is from RNAcentral.